This 677-nucleotide long non-coding RNA is filed under the name Manihot esculenta (cassava). RNAcentral describes it as "long non-coding RNA (MESC_LNC000844)". Lineage: Eukaryota; Viridiplantae; Streptophyta; Magnoliopsida; Malpighiales; Euphorbiaceae. The record is from RNAcentral.
UCCAUCAUUAUUGAUAUUACACACCAUCUGAACCUGGUCAAGUUCCUUCUUACAGUCUAGUAUUGGAUAUUCUACUCCUCUCUCUCUCUCUCGCAAAAUAUGGACAUGGAGUGGAAGACGUCAAGGAUUGGAUACUGUCAAAACUUCCAACUGGACCAGCUUAUUAUCCAAAGGUAUUUAGGAAAGAGGCUAUUCCUGUUUCUAUUUUCUCAGUAAUUUUGCAAGAACUUACAUUCAUAAUUUGUAGUAGUAACCGUCCAUCAUUAUUGAUAUUAAACACCAUCUGAACCUGGUCAAGUUCCUUCUUACAGUCUAGUAUUGGAUAUUCUACUCCUCUCUCUCUCUCUCCAAAAAAAAAAAAAAACAAGGACAAGGACAAAACCUAUGUGAACAACACAUAAUAUUGUGUUGAAACUUGUCUCUGCAGUGGGGUUGUCACUCUAUUUGACCCAAUCUUAAUUACAAACUCAUGGAAAUUAUUUGGAUCCUAUUCUGCUCAUGGAAAUCAUUUUUAUCCCUCCAAUUCACACUAUUAAAAGCCAUCUUGGGAACUCUCUUGAACUUGUUACCCAAUUGGUUCCACCUUCCUUUUUUAAAACAAAUGUAAUCAUUCCUUUCAAAGUUAGGUCCUUUUACAUAUUUUUACACAUUCAUCUUAACAUGCUUAUCUGUACUGG